This is a long non-coding RNA of Danaus plexippus (monarch butterfly), 508 nucleotides long. RefSeq lists it as uncharacterized. Lineage: Eukaryota; Metazoa; Arthropoda; Insecta; Lepidoptera; Nymphalidae. The record is from RefSeq and is a predicted model, not a curated record. The transcript is spliced from 2 exons.
GGUUAAUCUACAGCAUUAUAUGUGAUUUGUAUUAUACAAAACAGAUUACUGUUAGAGUUAUUUUAAUAAAAGUUCUACUCUGUGAAGGUCGUCUGUUCCAGCCUCCGCUAUGGAGCAACAACACCAAGGUUUAAAAAGGAGGUCCUACACAUCACACCAAGAGUGAGGAGGGGACCAGCUCCUAACAUACUGUCCUCAUUUAAAUCAUGUCAAUUCAAAAUAAUCUUUUACAAACCAUUUUUCAGACACCGAUCUACCUCUCCAUCUAGGUUCAUUAUGUAGUCCAGUCGGAAUUUUUCUUUCAGAAUACAGUUCUGUUGUUUUAUGAAAUUAUCAAAAUUGCUCUUUUGAAUAAUUAUUACAAAGAUACAGAUGCAACGAUCUAUAUGGAGCUGCUCCGGCUUCUUUAUCGUGUCAGAGAAUUCGAAGUUACAGGUUCAGUUUCUGAAGCUUCUACCGAAGACCUCUAUCAGAUGAAGCGUUGAGGGUUAAGCAUCACUGUUAGACA